Molecule: ribosomal RNA, 253 nt
Filed under: uncultured bacterium
Lineage: Bacteria
Description: partial 16S ribosomal RNA
Rfam family: Bacterial small subunit ribosomal RNA
Source: RNAcentral
UACGUAGGGUGCAAGCGUUGUUCGGAAUCAUUGGGCGUAAAGCGCGUGUAGGCUGUUAGUUAAGUCGGAUGUGAAAUCCCUGGGCUCAACCGAGGAAGUGCAUUCGAAACUGGCUAGCUAGAGAGUGGUAGAGGAAGGUGGAAUUCCAAGUGUAGAGGUGAAAUUCGUAGAUAUUUGGAGGAAUACCGGUGGCGAAGGCGGCCUUCUGGGCCACUUCUGACGCUGAGACGCGAAAGCGUGGGGAGCAAACAGG